CUCUGGUAUUGAUUGGUGCUUGCAUCAUGAUUUACAUUUGAGUGAGUGGCGAACUGGUGAGUAACACGUGGGAAACCUGCCCAGAAGCGGGGGAUAACACCUGGAAACAGAUGCUAAUACCGCAUAACAACUUGGACCGCAUGGUCCGAGCUUGAAAGAUGGCUUCGGCUAUCACUUUUGGAUGGUCCCGCGGCGUAUUAGCUAGAUGGUGGGGUAAUGGCUCACCAUGGCAAUGAUACGUAGCCGACCUGAGAGGGUAAUCGGCCACAUUGGGACUGAGACACGGCCCAAACUCCUACGGGAGGCAGCAGUAGGGAAUCUUCCACAAUGGACGAAAGUCUGAUGGAGCAACGCCGCGUGAGUGAAGAAGGGUUUCGGCUCGUAAAACUCUGUUGUUAAAGAAGAACAUAUCUGAGAGUAACUGUUCAGGUAUUGACGGUAUUUAACCAGAAAGCCACGGCUAACUACGUGCCAGCAGCCGCGGUAAUACGUAGGUGGCAAGCGUUGUCCGGAUUUAUUGGGCGUAAAGCGAGCGCAGGCGGUUUUUUAAGUCUGAUGUGAAAGCCUUCGGCUCAACCGAAGAAGUGCAUCGGAAACUGGGAAACUUGAGUGCAGAAGAGGACAGUGGAACUCCAUGUGUAGCGGUGAAAUGCGUAGAUAUAUGGAAGAACACCAGUGGCGAAGGCGGCUGUCUGGUCUGUAACUGACGCUGAGGCUCGAAAGUAUGGGUAGCAAACAGGAUUAGAUACCCUGGUAGUCCAUACCGUAAACGAUGAAUGCUAAGUGUUGGAGGGUUUCCGCCCUUCAGUGCUGCAGCUAACGCAUUAAGCAUUCCGCCUGGGGAGUACGGCCGCAAGGCUGAAACUCAAAGGAAUUGACGGGGGCCCGCACAAGCGGUGGAGCAUGUGGUUUAAUUCGAAGCUACGCGAAGAACCUUACCAGGUCUUGACAUACUAUGCAAAUCUAAGAGAUUAGACGUUCCCUUCGGGGACAUGGAUACAGGUGGUGCAUGGUUGUCGUCAGCUCGUGUCGUGAGAUGUUGGGUUAAGUCCCGCAACGAGCGCAACCCUUAUUAUCAGUUGCCAGCAUUAAGUUGGGCACUCUGGUGAGACUGCCGGUGACAAACCGGAGGAAGGUGGGGAUGACGUCAAAUCAUCAUGCCCCUUAUGACCUGGGCUACACACGUGCUACAAUGGAUGGUACAACGAGUUGCGAACUCGCGAGAGUAAGCUAAUCUCUUAAAGCCAUUCUCAGUUCGGAUUGUAGGCUGCAACUCGCCUACAUGAAGUCGGAAUCGCUAGUAAUCGCGGAUCAGCAUGCCGCGGUGAAUACGUUCCCGGGCCUUGUACACACCGCCCGUCACACCAUGAGAGUUUGUAACACCCAAAGUCGG
Molecule: ribosomal RNA, 1393 nt
Filed under: Lactiplantibacillus plantarum
Lineage: Bacteria; Bacillati; Bacillota; Bacilli; Lactobacillales; Lactobacillaceae
Description: bacterial SSU rRNA
Rfam family: Bacterial small subunit ribosomal RNA
Source: RNAcentral